RNAcentral lists this non-coding RNA (195 nucleotides) under Achromatium sp. WMS3. Its description in RNAcentral is "6S / SsrS RNA". It matches the Rfam family "6S / SsrS RNA". From Rfam's summary of the family: E. coli 6S RNA was the first non coding RNA to be sequenced, but its function was unknown until recently. Lineage: Bacteria; Pseudomonadati; Pseudomonadota; Gammaproteobacteria; Thiotrichales; Thiotrichaceae. The record is from Rfam by way of RNAcentral.
UAUCCCCUGUGGCAUCCGAUAGUUGGCUAGGUAUUUUCUUGAGCCUAACACUAACCUAGGGAAUAAAGAACCGAUACUGGUGUGCCGGUCCGUACUUCGUACUUCAUAACGGAACGCCUAAAGGUAACUGGUAAAAUUCCCACUUGAACUACACGGUUCAAGAACAAAGCUGACAACGGUGCUAAUGGGGGGCCA